AGGCAGGCGGCAGGCCUAACACAUGCAAGUCGAGCGGUAGCACAAGAGAGCUUGCUCUCUGGGUGACGAGCGGCGGACGGGUGAGUAAUGUCUGGGAAACUGCCUGAUGGCGGGGGAUAACUAGUGGAAACGGUAGCUAAUACCGCAUAACGUCGCAAGACCAAAGUGGGGGCCCUUCGGGCCUCACGCCAUCAGAUGUGCCCAGGUGGGAUUAGCUGGUAGGUGAGGUAACGGCUCACCUAGGCGACGAUCCCUAGCUGGUCUGAGAGGAUGACCAGCCACACUGGAACUGAGACACGGUCCAGACUCCUACGGGAGGCAGCAGUGGGGAAUAUUGCACAAUGGGCGCAAGCCUGAUGCAGCCAUGCCGCGUGUGUGAAGAAGGCCUUCGGGUUGUAAAGCACUUUCAGCGAGGAGGAAGGGUAAUGUGUUAAUAAGACAUUGCAUUGACGUUACUCGCAGAAGAAGCACCGGCUAACUCCGUGCCAGCAGCCGCGGUAAUACGGAGGGUGCAAGCGUUAAUCGGAAUUACUGGGCGUAAAGCGCACGCAGGCGGUUUGUUAAGUCAGAUGUGAAAUCCCCGCGCUCAACGUGGGAACGGCAUUUGAGACUGGCAAGCUAGAGUCUUGUAGAGGGGGGUAGAAUUCCAGGUGUAGCGGUGAAAUGCGUAGAGAUCUGGAGGAAUACCGGUGGCGAAGGCGGCCCCCUAGACAAAGACUGACGCUCAGGUGCGAAAGCGUGGGGAGCAAACAGGAUUAGAUACCCUGGUAGUCCACGCUGUAAACGAUGUCGAUUUGGAGGUUGCGCCCUUGAGGGGUGGCUUCCGUAGCUAACGCGUUAAAUCGACCGCCUGGGGAGUACGGCCGCAAGGUUAAAACUCAAAUGAAUUGACGGGGGCCCGCACAAGCGGUGGAGCAUGUGGUUUAAUUCGAUGCAACGCGAAGAACCUUACCUACUCUUGACAUCCAGAGAACUUUCCAGAGAUGGAGGGGUGCCUUCGGGAGCUCUGAGACAGGUGCUGCAUGGCUGUCGUCAGCUCGUGUUGUGAAAUGUUGGGUUAAGUCCCGCAACGAGCGCAAGC
Molecule: ribosomal RNA, 1081 nt
Filed under: Serratia symbiotica
Lineage: Bacteria; Pseudomonadati; Pseudomonadota; Gammaproteobacteria; Enterobacterales; Yersiniaceae
Description: bacterial SSU rRNA
Rfam family: Bacterial small subunit ribosomal RNA
Source: RNAcentral